GAUGAACGCUGGCGGCGUGCCUAAUACAUGCAAGUCGAGCGAACAGACGAGGAGCUUGCUCCUCUGACGUUAGCGGCGGACGGGUGAGUAACACGUGGAUAACCUACCUAUGAGACUGGGAUAACUUCGGGAAACCGGAGCUAAUACCGGAUAAUAUAUUGAACCGCAUGGUUCAAUAGUGAAAGACGGUUUUGCUGUCACUUAUAGAUGGAUCCGCGCCGCAUUAGCUAGUUGGUAAGGUAACGGCUUACCAAGGCAACGAUGCGUAGCCGACCUGAGAGGGUGAUCGGCCACACUGGAACUGAGACACGGUCCAGACUCCUACGGGAGGCAGCAGUAGGGAAUCUUCCGCAAUGGGCGAAAGCCUGACGGAGCAACGCCGCGUGAGUGAUGAAGGUCUUCGGAUCGUAAAACCCUGUUAUUAGGGAAGAACAAAUGUGUAAGUAACUAUGCACGUCUUGACGGUACCUAAUCAGAAAGCCACGGCUAACUACGUG
Molecule: ribosomal RNA, 497 nt
Filed under: uncultured bacterium
Lineage: Bacteria
Description: partial 16S ribosomal RNA
Rfam family: Bacterial small subunit ribosomal RNA
Source: RNAcentral